RNAcentral lists this ribosomal RNA (332 nucleotides) under uncultured eukaryote. Its description in RNAcentral is "partial 18S ribosomal RNA". It matches the Rfam family "Eukaryotic small subunit ribosomal RNA", at positions 1470 to 1796 of the family's 1831-position model. The record is from RNAcentral.
CCCUUAGAUGUUCUGGGCCGCACGCGCGCUACACUGACGGAGCCAACGAGUAUUUUCCUUGUCCGGAAGGACUGGGUAAUCUUGUGAAACUUUGUCGUGCUGGGGAUAGAGCAUUGUAAUUAUUGCUCUUCAACGAGGAAUUCCCAGUAAGCGCGAGUCAUAAGCUCGCGUUGAUUACGUCCCUGCCCUUUGUACACACCGCCCGUCGCUACUACCGAUUGAACGGUUUAGUGAGGGCCUCGGAUUGGUCUCGGCCCGCUCUUUACCGGGCGGCGCCGUUGGUCGAGAAGACGCUCGAACUUGAUCGUUUAGAGGAAGUAAAAGUCGUAACA